ACUCUACCACAAGGCCACAUUCCCAGCCCCAGAUGUCAGCCUUUUGACUAGCUAGGAUUCCAGGAAGGCAUGAGACAUUAGCACCUGGCUUAUAUUUAUUCUUAAAACUCUGUGUGAUCCAAUUUUAUCUAAUUAAUAACAAUUACUUCUUAAACAAUUAAAAUUAUUUUAAAAUUUGCCUUUCCUGCCUUUAUCAGGAAAGUAAGAUUCUCCUUACUUCCUCCCCAUCCACCAAAUCUAACCACUGUAACUCUCUUCCAAGGCUCUCUAAUAGCUUCCUUCUGGCCAUGACCAAGACCUUCUUUUAACUCUUAUCCAACUUGACUUCUUUGUGGCAUUAAGACAGCUCUUUAAAAUUUUUGAAAAUCAUUUUUGAAACUUUAGAAGUAUAGGUUUCAUUUUAUAUUUACUUAUAUAUUAUAAAUUACUUUUUAAAAUUGUCCAUAAAGGCUACUUUGGCAUAUUUCCCACUAGCCUAUUUAUGUAAGCAUUUUUAGCAUCAGAAGAUUUUUUUUUUUUUUUUUUUGCCAGUCCUGGGGCUUGGACUAGAGGCCUGAGUGCUGUCCCUGGCUUCUUUUUGCUCAAGACUAGCACUCUACCACUUAAGCCACAGCAUCACUUCUGGCUUUUUUUUCUGACUUUGUGGUGCUGAGGAAUUGAACCCAGGGCUUCAUGCAUGCUACGCAAGCACUAUACCGCUAAGCUACAUUCCCAGGCCCUCAGCAGAUUUAUGCAUAACUAGGGUUUUAAUAUACAUCCAGUUUUGAACUCACUACUUUUUCCCUGAAAGUCACCUUAUUUCCACAAAACAAGUACUUCUUGGUUUUUUCCACAAUUCACCUAUCUCACAAAAUUGAAAAUCCAAGAACUUUUUGUCUCUCUGAU
Perognathus longimembris pacificus (Pacific pocket mouse) is the source of this 885-nucleotide long non-coding RNA. RefSeq lists it as uncharacterized. The transcript is spliced from 3 exons. Lineage: Eukaryota; Metazoa; Chordata; Mammalia; Rodentia; Heteromyidae. The record is from RefSeq and is a predicted model, not a curated record.